UUAGAUACCCUGGUAGUCCACGCCCUAAACGAUGGAUACUAGACGAGGGUGGCUUGCCCAUCCGUGUCGUAGCUAACGCAUUAAGUAUCCCGCCUGUGGAGUACGGCCGCAAGGUUAAAACAUAAAGAAAUUGACGGGUCCCCGCACAAGCAGCGGAGCAUGUGGUUUAAUUCGAUGCAACGCGAAGAACCUUACCAAGACUUGACAUUGCGUGAUCGCCUGUGAAAGCAGGCUUCCCUUCGGGGCACAAAAACAGAUGGUGCAUGGUCGUCGUCAGCUCGUGCCGUGAGGUGUUCGGUUAAGUCCGUCAACGAGCGCAACCCUUAUUUCCAGUUACCAGUAUUAAGUUAGGGACUCUGGAAAGACUGCCGUGGAUAACACGGAGGAAGGUGGGGGAUGAUGUCAGAUCAUCAUGCCUCUUACGUCUUGGGCUACACACGUGCUACAAUGGGCGCUACAAAGAGCUGCGGAGCCGUAAGGCCGAGCCAAUCUCAAAAACGUUCUCAUUCNGAUUUGUGGGGCUGCAACCCGCCCACAUGAGUUGGGAGUUGCUAGUAAUCCCGGAUCACACGCCGGGGUGAAUNGCGUUCCGGGGGAUUGUACACACCGCCCGUCAGCAUGGGAGGUUGGGGGUCUCUUNAAAUCNGGUCCGCCUACCCCCAAGGAAGGCGCCCGCCCUAGGUAAACCAUGACUGGGGUUAAAUCGUAACAAGUAACCCA
This 720-nucleotide ribosomal RNA is filed under the name uncultured bacterium. RNAcentral describes it as "bacterial SSU rRNA". It matches the Rfam family "Bacterial small subunit ribosomal RNA", at positions 778 to 1502 of the family's 1533-position model. The record is from RNAcentral.